RNAcentral lists this ribosomal RNA (497 nucleotides) under uncultured bacterium. RNAcentral's name for it is "partial 16S ribosomal RNA". It matches the Rfam family "Bacterial small subunit ribosomal RNA", at positions 28 to 507 of the family's 1533-position model. The record is from RNAcentral.
GAUGAACGCUGGCGGCGUGCCUAAUACAUGCAAGUCGAGCGAACGGACGAGAAGCUUGCUUCUCUGACGUUAGCGGCGGACGGGUGAGUAACACGUGUAUAACCUACCUAUAUGACUGGUAUAACUUCGGGACACCGGAGCUAAUCCCGUAUGAUAUUUUGAACCGCAUGGUUCAAAAGUGAAAGACGGUCUUGCUGUCACUUAUAGAUGGAUCUGCGCUGCAUUAGCUAGUUGGUAAGGUAACGGCUUAUCAAGGCAACGAUGCAUAGCCGACCUGAGAGAGUGAUAGGCCACACUGGAACUGAGACGCGGUCCAGACUCCUACGGGAGGCAGCAGUAGGGAAUCUGCCGCAAUGGGCGAAAGCCUGGCGGAGCGACGCCGCGUGAGUGAUGAAGGUCUUCGGAUCGUAAAACUCUGUUAUUAGGGGAGAACAUAUGUGUAAGUAACUGUGCACAUCUUGACGGUACCUAAUCAGAAAGCCACGGCUAACUACGUG